This 464-nucleotide ribosomal RNA is filed under the name Parvocaecus sp. 3 CA-2016. RNAcentral describes it as "partial large subunit ribosomal RNA". The stretch from base 341 to 464 matches the Rfam family "Bacterial large subunit ribosomal RNA", at positions 2473 to 2597 of the family's 2925-position model. The record is from RNAcentral. Lineage: Eukaryota; Metazoa; Arthropoda; Insecta; Coleoptera; Carabidae.
UUUAAUGGCUGCAGUAAUUUGACUGUACAAAGGUAGCAUAAUCAUUAGUUUUUUAAUUGAAAGCUUGUAUGAAAGGUUAGACGAAAAAAAAUCUGUUUCUAAUUAAUUUAGUUAGAAUUUAAUUUUUAAGUGAAAAAGCUUAAAUAUUUAUAAAAGACGAGAAGACCCUAUAGAAUUUUAUAUAUAAUUUAAUAAAUUUAAUUAAUAUUUAUUAAUUUUAUAUUUUAUUAUAUAUUUUAUUGGGGUAAUAAAAAGAUUAAUAUAAUUCUUUUUUAAUUAUUAUAUUUAUAUAUAUUUAUUUGAUCCAUUAUUAAUGAUUAUAAGAAUAAAUUACCUUAGGGAUAACAGCGUAAUUUUUUUAGAGAGUUCAUAUUAAUAAAAAAGUUUGCGACCUCGAUGUUGGAUUAAAGAUUAUUUUAGGUGCAAAAGUUUAAAAAAUUGGUCUGUUCGACCAUUAAAUCUUU